Molecule: ribosomal RNA, 354 nt
Filed under: Hypochilus pococki
Lineage: Eukaryota; Metazoa; Arthropoda; Arachnida; Araneae; Hypochilidae
Description: eukaryotic LSU rRNA
Rfam family: Eukaryotic large subunit ribosomal RNA
Source: RNAcentral
GACCCGUCUUGAAACACGGACCAAGGAGUCUAACAUGUGCGCGAGUCACGGGGUCUUGAAUAGGCCGCAGAGGCGCAAUGAAAGUGAAGGUCGACCUCGACGUCGACUGUGUUGGGACUCUCCGCCCCCUCCGGGCGGGGAAGCACCAACGACCCGUCCUAUCCGAUUCAUCGGUUGGGCGGAGUCUGAGCGUACACGUUGGGACCCGAAAGAUGGUGAACUAUGCCUGGGCAGGACGAAGCCAGAGGAAACUCUGGUGGAGGUCCGUAGCGGUUCUGACGUGCAAAUCGAUCGUCAGACCCGGGUAUAGGGGCGAAAGACUAAUCGAACCAUCUAGUAGCUGGUUCCUUCCGA